This 529-nucleotide ribosomal RNA is filed under the name uncultured bacterium. RNAcentral describes it as "bacterial SSU rRNA". It matches the Rfam family "Archaeal small subunit ribosomal RNA", at positions 658 to 1180 of the family's 1478-position model. The record is from RNAcentral.
CACCAGUGGUGAAGACGUCUGGUUAGAAUAGGUCCGACGGUGAGGGACGAAGGCUGGGGGCGCAAACCGGAUUAGAUACCCGGGUAGUCCCAGCAGUAAACGAUGCCAGCUAUGUGUUGCUGGAACCAUGGGUUCCAGCAGUGCCGAAGGGAAGCCGUGAAGCUGGCCACCUGGGAAGUACGGUCGCAAGGCUGAAACUUAAAGGAAUUGGCGGGGGAGUACCACAACCGGUGGAGCCUGCGGUUUAAUUGGAUACAACGCCGGGAAUCUUACCGGAGGGGACAGCAGUAUGAAGGCCAGGCUAAAGACCUUGCCAGAUCAGCUGAGAGGAGGUGCAUGGCCGUCGCCAGUUCGUACCCGUGAGGCAUCCUGUUUAGUCAGGCAACGAUCGAGACCCGCAGUCUUAUUUGCCAGCAUGCCCUUUGGGGGUGUAUGGGUACAAAUAAGACGACCGCCAGCGCUAAGCUUGGAGGAAGGAGCGGGCCUACGGUAGGUCAGCAUGCCCGAAAUCCUCCGGGAUACACGCGGG